This 253-nucleotide ribosomal RNA is filed under the name uncultured bacterium. RNAcentral's name for it is "partial 16S ribosomal RNA". It matches the Rfam family "Bacterial small subunit ribosomal RNA", at positions 524 to 776 of the family's 1533-position model. The record is from RNAcentral.
UACGAAGGGUGCAAGCGUUACUCGGAAUUACUGGGCGUAAAGCGUGCGUAGGUGGUUUUUUAAGUCCGUUGUGAAAGCCCUGGGCUCAACCUGGGAAUGGCAGUGGAUACUGGAAAGCUAGAGUGCGGUAGAGGGUAGUGGAAUUCCCGGUGUAGCAGUGAAAUGCGUAGAGAUCCGGAGGAACACCAGUGGCGCAGGCGGCUCUCUGGGUCGGCCCUGACGCUGAGGCGCGAAAGCGUGGGGAGCGAACGGG